GUGGGGAAUUUUGGACAAUGGGCGCAAGCCUGAUCCAGCAAUGCCGCGUGCAGGAAGAAGGCCUUCGGGUUGUAAACUGCUUUUGUACGGAACGAAACGGUCCGGGUUAAUACCCUGGGCUAAUGACGGUACCGUAAGAAUAAGCACCGGCUAACUACGUGCCAGCAGCCGCGGUAAUACGUAGGGUGCAAGCGUUAAUCGGAAUUACUGGGCGUAAAGCGUGCGCAGGCGAUUUUGUAAGACAGGCGUGAAAUCCCCGGGCUCAACCUGGGAAUUGCGCUUGUGACUGCAAGGCUGGAGUGCGGCAGAGGGGGAUGGAAUUCCGCGUGUAGCAGUGAAAUGCGUAGAUAUGCGGAGGAACACCGAUGGCGAAGGCAGCUUCUUGGUCCAUACCUGACGCUGAAACACGAAAGCGUGGGGAGCAAACAGGAUUAGAUACCCCUGUAGUCC
Molecule: ribosomal RNA, 450 nt
Filed under: uncultured bacterium
Lineage: Bacteria
Description: partial 16S ribosomal RNA
Rfam family: Bacterial small subunit ribosomal RNA
Source: RNAcentral